RNAcentral lists this ribosomal RNA (578 nucleotides) under uncultured bacterium. Its description in RNAcentral is "bacterial SSU rRNA". It matches the Rfam family "Bacterial small subunit ribosomal RNA", at positions 338 to 916 of the family's 1533-position model. The record is from RNAcentral.
CCUACGGGAGGCAGCAGUAGGGAAUAUUGGACAAUGGACGCAAGUCUGAUCCAGCCAUCCCGCGUGAAGGAUUAAGGCCCUCUGGGUUGUAAACUUCUUUUCUUUGGGAAUAAAAAGCGGUAUUCAUAUCGCCUUGAAGGUACCAGAGGAAUAAGCACCGGCUAACUCCGUGCCAGCAGCCGCGGUAAUACGGAGGGUGCAAGCGUUAUCCGGAUUCACUGGGUUUAAAGGGUGCGUAGGUGGUCUGUUAAGUCAGCGGUGAAAGCCUGGAGCCCAACUCCAGAAUUGCCAUUGAUACUGACGGACUUGAAUCAAGUUGAGGUGGAUGGAAUAUUACAUGUAGCGGUGAAAUGCUUAGAUAUGUAAUAGAACACCAAUUGCGAAGGCAGUUCACUAAGCUUGCACUGACACUGAGGCACGAAAGCGUGGGGAUCAAACAGGAUUAGAUACCCUGGUAGUCCACGCCCUAAACGAUGCAAACUCGACAUUAGCGAUAUACAGUUAGUGUCCAAGCGAAAGCGUUAAGUUUGCCACCUGGGAAGUACGACCGCAAGGUUGAAACUCAAAUGAAUUGACGG